UCUGGUGCGUGAAGAGGAAGCA
Molecule: non-coding RNA, 22 nt
Filed under: Arabidopsis thaliana (thale cress)
Lineage: Eukaryota; Viridiplantae; Streptophyta; Magnoliopsida; Brassicales; Brassicaceae
Source: RNAcentral